GACGAACGCUGGCGGCGUGCUUAACACAUGCAAGUCGAACGGUAAGACCCUGCUUUUGUGGGAUGCUCGAGUGGCGAACGGGUGAGUAACACGUGAGUAACCUGCCCUUGACUUUGGGAUAACUUCAGGAAACUGGGGCUAAUACCGGAUAGGAGCUCCUGCUGCAUGGUGGGGGUUGGAAAGUUUCGGCGGUUGGGGAUGGACUCGCGGCUUAUCAGCUUGUUGGUGGGGUAGUGGCUUACCAAGGCUUUGACGGGUAGCCGGCCUGCGAGGGUGACCGGCCACAUUGGGACUGAGAUACGGCCCAGACUCCUACGGGAGGCAGCAGUGGGGAAUAUUGCACAAUGGGCGGAAGCCUGAUGCAGCAACGCCGCGUGCGGGAUGACGGCCUUCGGGUUGUAAACCGCUUUCGCCUGUGACGAAGCGUGAGUGACGGUAAUGGGUAAAGAAGCACCGGCUAACUACGUG
RNAcentral lists this ribosomal RNA (468 nucleotides) under uncultured bacterium. Its description in RNAcentral is "partial 16S ribosomal RNA". It matches the Rfam family "Bacterial small subunit ribosomal RNA", at positions 28 to 507 of the family's 1533-position model. The record is from RNAcentral.